Long non-coding RNA from Esox lucius (northern pike), 642 nucleotides. RefSeq lists it as uncharacterized. The record is from RefSeq and is a predicted model, not a curated record. The transcript is spliced from 5 exons. Lineage: Eukaryota; Metazoa; Chordata; Actinopteri; Esociformes; Esocidae.
GUCAACUUCAAGCAAGUUCGAACAAGAGAGGAAGACAACAUCAAAGUGUUUUAAUUUAAGCACAAAAGUGGUGCUCAAAAAAUGAAGUAGAUAAAUAAAAAGAGCAUGGGCAAGAUGCCAAAAUUACAUUUACGUUCAUGUCCAAAGCAUGGAAGAAUUUAAGUCAACAAUUUGAUGAUAUUAUCCCCAGUGGGUUUGCUAACAGCAGAAAAGAGAUGGUUCACAGGCCUUGGACUCCAUUCAAAGUUUUUCACUCCUUAACAUGCCUAAACUCCCUGGGAGUCUCGGCUAAGGGUGGCGGCUGAAAACAAAUGCAGAACAACACAGUGGAUGGAUUCCGGAGAGUUGAAGAUCACAGCAAAUAUUUCUCACAGCCUCAGCGAUGAAGAGAAUUUGAGGAGACGGGGACAAAGAAAGAGCGAAGAUAACGUAUUGAUGUAACUGUACAGACUGUCUCCCCCUGUGGCUGGCUACAGAGGGAAAGGGCAGUGUCUGGUCGGUGACAGGGGUGGGCUGAAUGUGCCGGCCCUGCAUUGACAGCUGGGGUGCUAGUGUCAUCCUCUGCAAGCCUCCACGUGACACAUCCAGACUAACGUUACAGCCACAGAGGAAAAACCAGAACCACAGCUACAGGAGCCACAG